This 544-nucleotide ribosomal RNA is filed under the name Salmonella enterica subsp. enterica serovar Infantis. RNAcentral's name for it is "partial 23S ribosomal RNA". It matches the Rfam family "Bacterial large subunit ribosomal RNA", at positions 711 to 1229 of the family's 2925-position model. RNAcentral also lists the same sequence under 2 other names. Lineage: Bacteria; Pseudomonadati; Pseudomonadota; Gammaproteobacteria; Enterobacterales; Enterobacteriaceae. The record is from RNAcentral.
AGACCCGAAACCCGGUGAUCUAGCCAUGGGCAGGUUGAAGGUUGGGUAACACUAACUGGAGGACCGAACCGACUAAUGUUGAAAAAUUAGCGGAUGACCUGUGGCUGGGGGUGAAAGGCCAAUCAAACCGGGAGAUAGCUGGUUCUCCCCGAAAGCUAUUUAGGUAGCGCCUCGUGAAUUCAUCUCCGGGGGUAGAGCACUGUUUCGGCUAGGGGGCCAUCCCGGCUUACCAACCCGAUGCAAACUGCGAAUACCGGAGAAUGUUAUCACGGGAGACACACGGCGGGUGCUAACGUCCGUCGUGAAGAGGGAAACAACCCAGACCGCCAGCUAAGGUCCCAAAGUCAUGGUUAAGUGGGAAACGAUGUGGGAAGGCCCAGACAGCCAGGAUGUUGGCUUAGAAGCAGCCAUCAUUUAAAGAAAGCGUAAUAGCUCACUGGUCGAGUCGGCCUGCGCGGAAGAUGUAACGGGGCUAAACCAUGCACCGAAGCUGCGGCAGCGAACGUAUCACUUAAAGCGAUUCAGCGGGUUACGAUUGACGGAG